AGCUUUGCGCAGUGGUAAUAUCAUAGCUAAUGAAGGUUUAUUGAGGUGUGAUUAUUUCUAUUUGAAAACUUUACCCAAUAUCCUGUUAAGAUUGUUUUAUGACAGACUUGGCAGUUUUUUACCAUCUCUGAGGAU
Small nuclear RNA from Protopterus annectens (West African lungfish), 135 nucleotides. RefSeq annotates it as U4 spliceosomal RNA. Lineage: Eukaryota; Metazoa; Chordata; Ceratodontiformes; Protopteridae. The record is from RefSeq and is a predicted model, not a curated record. The transcript has a single exon.